RNAcentral lists this unclassified non-coding RNA (345 nucleotides) under soil metagenome. RNAcentral describes it as "partial contains 5.8S ribosomal RNA, internal transcribed spacer 2, and large subunit ribosomal RNA". The stretch from base 1 to 119 matches the Rfam family "5.8S ribosomal RNA", at positions 35 to 154 of the family's 154-position model. The record is from RNAcentral.
GAUGAAGAACGUAGCGAAAUGCGAUACGUAAUGUGAAUUGCAAAUUCAGUGAAUCAUCGAGUCUUUGAACGCACAUUGCGCCCCCUGGUAUUCCGGGGGGCAUGCCUGUCCGAGCGUCAUUGCUGCCCUCAAGCACGGCUUGUGUGUUGGGCCCCGUCCUCCGAUUCCGGGGGACAGGCCCGAAAGGCAGCGGCGGCACCGCGUCCGGUCCUCGAGCGUAUGGGGCUUUGUCACCCGCUCUGUAGGCCCGGCCGGCGCUUGCCGAUCAACCCAAAUUUUUAUCCAGGUUGACCUCGGAUCAGGUAGGGAUACCCGCUGAACUUAAGCAUAUCAAUAAGCGGAGGA